GUGAAUCAUCAAAUCUUUGAACGCAAAUUGCACUCUUUUCGGUGAGUAUGCCUGUUUGAGGGUCAGUAUCAAUAAAAAUCGGUGUGUUGCCUUGUUGAUACGCUCCGGAGUUUGGGUCAUCUUAAGACCCGUUAGGACUUAAGAGGCUUAAAAUUGACUUUCUUUGCGCACUUUAGAUGCACAGAAAUCAUUUUUUUUUUUUUGCUGUCUUAAUGCUCCAAAUCU
This 225-nucleotide unclassified non-coding RNA is filed under the name Glomeraceae sp. RNAcentral describes it as "partial contains 5.8S ribosomal RNA and internal transcribed spacer 2". The stretch from base 1 to 65 matches the Rfam family "5.8S ribosomal RNA", at positions 84 to 154 of the family's 154-position model. Lineage: Eukaryota; Fungi; Glomeromycota; Glomeromycetes; Glomerales; Glomeraceae. The record is from RNAcentral.